This 437-nucleotide long non-coding RNA is filed under the name Rattus norvegicus (Norway rat). Its description in RNAcentral is "long non-coding RNA NONRATT026439". The record is from RNAcentral. Lineage: Eukaryota; Metazoa; Chordata; Mammalia; Rodentia; Muridae.
GUACUCGACGAUGGGGACAAGACAUAUCCAGGGUCGGGACAGGCAGGGGGAGGCGCACUCACGCGGUGGCUGCGCCUGGCUGCCGGGGACCGUGGGACAUGGCCACUCCGGGGGGGUCCUGGAACAGAAGCCGGCAAAGGUUAGGGGGUUCCUGCCUGCCACCCCGACGGGACCGCAGGCCGGUCCCCGGGGUGCCCAAGCGGGGGAGGCUGAUCCCGGGGCGGGUAGGUCCUGGGGCGGGAGGCCCCGCGAUCCUUUGUUGCGAGAUCGAGUCCCGGAGGCCGCGCCCCGCAGCCUCCGCCCCGCGCAGGCCCCGACUUCCCGGCUCUUUUCACCUCUGAAAAAACUUUCCCGGGACCUGGGAUGCGGCGACGCUCCAACCAAGCGCCCGCGCCCGCUCCUCCCUCAUGCUAAUAAACCCAAGCCUAGCGCUUCAA